Molecule: long non-coding RNA, 621 nt
Filed under: Piliocolobus tephrosceles (Ugandan red Colobus)
Lineage: Eukaryota; Metazoa; Chordata; Mammalia; Primates; Cercopithecidae
Description: lncRNA (ENSPTEG00000007616.1)
Source: RNAcentral
GCUGUUAAAACUGACUUUAUAUGUGACAUAAACAUUUUUUUUUUUUUUUUUUUUUUUUUUUUAGGAUAAUUACAAAUCAGAUGACGAUAGUUAUAUGAAUAAUCAAAAUUCAUGCAACGAUGACUAUGAUUAUGACAAUGGCGAUUAUAACCAAGGAAACUCAAAAAUGGUUUAUAACAAAAAUGUUGAAGAUGCUGAUUAUUACGCAUUAAAACAACGAUGUAGAGACACACGUUAUUAUGAUAGCACCUAUUAAAAUCAUGAUGCGCAUAUGUUUGCACAAAUUUAUAUCAUGUAUACAUAUAUAUAAAUGUGCAAAGUUCAUUUCUGUUUUUACACACUCUUUACAUAUAUGUUUUCUUAUUUUUUAAUUACCUAUUUAUAAAGUUUGUUAUUUUUAUUGUACCUAUUUGUAACAUUUUUAAUCAAUUAUUUUAUCUUAUAUAUAUUUUUUUUUAUAUAAUUUUUUUUUUUUAUAAUUUUUUUUUUUUUUUUUAUAUAAGAAUAGAAUAUGCAAAAUACAUAAAAAUUAUUAUGUAAAUAUAUGUUUUUAGAAAGUGCUUUGUCCAAUUAUGUGAUUGUGAAAAUAAAAAAAAAAAUAAAUAAAUAAAUGAAUAAAAU